Molecule: transfer RNA, 72 nt
Filed under: Eubacterium sp.
Lineage: Bacteria; Bacillati; Bacillota; Clostridia; Eubacteriales; Eubacteriaceae
Also listed under: 2 other names
Description: tRNA-Glu
Rfam family: tRNA
About the family: Transfer RNA (tRNA) molecules are approximately 80 nucleotides in length.
Source: RNAcentral
GGCUCGAUGGUCAAGCGGUUAAGACGCCGCCCUCUCACGGCGGAAACCGGGGUUCGAUUCCCCGUCGAGCUG